UACGGGGGGAGCAAGCGUUGUUCGGAUUUACUGGGCGUAAAGGGCGCGUAGGCGGCCACCGCAAGUCGGUUGUGAAAUCUCUGGGCUUAACCCAGAAAGGUCAACCGAUACUGCGGGGCUAGAGUGCAGAAGGGGCAACUGGAAUUCUCGGUGUAGCGGUGAAAUGCGUAGAUAUCUGGAGGAACAUCAGUGGCGAAGGCGACACCCUGGACUCAUACUGACACUGAGGUGCGAAAGCGUGGGGAGCAAACAGG
Molecule: ribosomal RNA, 254 nt
Filed under: uncultured prokaryote
Description: partial 16S ribosomal RNA
Rfam family: Bacterial small subunit ribosomal RNA
Source: RNAcentral